This 294-nucleotide unclassified non-coding RNA is filed under the name Hevea brasiliensis (rubber tree). Lineage: Eukaryota; Viridiplantae; Streptophyta; Magnoliopsida; Malpighiales; Euphorbiaceae. The record is from RNAcentral.
GUUUUUAUUUCCUCUAUUUUUUUAAUUAUUUCUAUUCAAAUUUUAUCGGUCUUAAUUCUCAAAAUUUGUUUACAUUUCUAUUGAUUCCUGAUUACUUGUAAUAUUAGAAAGAGACAAUUAAAUCCUAAAACUGAAAAAUUAAGUAGCACCAACUUAAUAUAAAAAAAGCAAUAGUAGGAAGGAAAAAUGUAAUUAUUUGUAGAUGUAUAUCAAGAUAAGACUCCAAUGUUGGUUUUGCAUAUAUUUCUUUUUAUCUUUAUUUUAAUUUUAUUUAUCUUUAUUAUUUAUCUACCA